RNAcentral lists this ribosomal RNA (450 nucleotides) under uncultured Acaulospora. RNAcentral describes it as "SSU rRNA". It matches the Rfam family "Eukaryotic small subunit ribosomal RNA", at positions 569 to 1022 of the family's 1831-position model. Lineage: Eukaryota; Fungi; Glomeromycota; Glomeromycetes; Diversisporales; Acaulosporaceae. The record is from RNAcentral.
AGCAGCCGCGGUAAUUCCAGCUCCAAUAGCGUAUAUUAAAGUUGUUGCAGUUAAAAAGCUCGUAGUUGAAUUUCGGGGUUUAUCCGUCGGUCGGGCUUUCGGGUCUGUACUGGCGUGAUGGAUUCCUACCUUCUGAAUAACCGGCAUGUCAUUAAUUUGGUGCGCCGGGGAAGCAGGACUGUUACCUUGAAAAAUUAGAGUGCUUAAAGCAGGCUUAUGCCUGAAUACAUUAGCAUGGAAUAAUGAAAUAGGACGGCAUGGUUCUAUUUUGUUGGUUUCUAGGAUCACCGUAAUGAUUAAUAGGGAUAGUUGGGGGCAUUAGUAUUCAAUUGUCAGAGGUGAAAUUCUUGGAUUUAUUGAAGACUAACUUCUGCGAAAGCAUUUGCCAAGGAUGUUUUCAUUAAUCAAGAACGAAAGUUAGGGGAUCGAAGACGAUCAGAUACCGUCGUA